UCGCUUCAGUAGCACAUAUACUAAAACUGGAACAAUACAGAGAAGAUUAGCAUGGCCCCUGUGCAAGGACGACAUGCAAAUUCGUGAAGUGUUCCAUAUUUGG
Small nuclear RNA from Bison bison bison, 103 nucleotides. Lineage: Eukaryota; Metazoa; Chordata; Mammalia; Artiodactyla; Bovidae. The record is from Ensembl.